GAGUUUGAUCGUGGCUCAGGAUGAACGCUGGCGGCGUGCUUAACACAUGCAAGUCGAACGGAAAGGCCCUUGCUUGCAAGGGUGCUCGAGUGGCGAGCGGGUGAGUAACACGUAGGUGAUCUGCCUUUCACUUCGGGAUAAGCUUGGGAAACUGGGUCUAAUACCGGAUAUUCACGGCACCGUGGUUGGUGUGGUGGAAAGCUUUUGCGGUGGGAGAUGAGCUUGCGGCCUAUCAGCUUGUUGGUGGGGUAAUGGCCUACCAAGGCGGCGACGGGUAGCCGGCCUGAGAGGGUGUGCGGCCACAUUGGGACUGAGAUACGGCCCAGACUCCUACGGGAGGCAGCAGUGGGGAAUUUUGCACAAUGGGCGGAAGCCUGAUGCAGCGACGCCGUGUGGGGAUGAAGGCCUCGGUCGUAAC
Molecule: ribosomal RNA, 418 nt
Filed under: uncultured microorganism
Description: bacterial SSU rRNA
Rfam family: Bacterial small subunit ribosomal RNA
Source: RNAcentral